This 492-nucleotide ribosomal RNA is filed under the name uncultured bacterium. RNAcentral describes it as "partial 16S ribosomal RNA". It matches the Rfam family "Bacterial small subunit ribosomal RNA", at positions 29 to 507 of the family's 1533-position model. The record is from RNAcentral.
AGUGAACGCUGGCGGUAGACCUAACACAUGCAAGUCGAACGGCAGCACAGUAAGAGCUUGCUCUUACGGGUGGCGAGUGGCGGACGGGUGAGGAAUACAUCGGAAUCUACUUUUUCGUGGGGGAUAACGUAGGGAAACUUACGCUAAUACCGCAUACGACCUACGGGUGAAAGCAGGGGAUCUUCGGACCUUGCGCGAUUGAAUGAGCCGAUGUCGGAUUAGCUAGUUGGCGGGGUAAAGGCCCACCAAGGCGACGAUCCGUAGCUGGUCUGAGAGGAUGAUCAGCCACACUGGAACGGAGACACGGUCCAGACUACUACGGGAGGCAGCAGUGGGGAAUAUUGGACAAUGGGGGCAAGCCUGAUCCAGCCAUACCGCGUGGGUGAAGAAGGCCUUCGGGUUGUAAAGCCCUUUUGUGGGGAAAGAAAAGCAGCAGGUUAAUACCCCGCUGUUCUGACGGUACCCAAAGAAUAAGCACCGGCUAACUUCGUG